Labrus bergylta (ballan wrasse) is the source of this 285-nucleotide non-coding RNA. NCBI's taxonomy places the organism in Eukaryota, Metazoa, Chordata, Actinopteri, Labriformes, Labridae. The record is from RefSeq and is a predicted model, not a curated record.
CUGCACUUUAUGAAGCUUUUAGUUAAACUCUGCUGGGCUCGUCAUCAACCGGAACCGGAACACGUAACAUUUUUCAUCACUGGGCGCCAUCUAGUGGACAACCCGAAAGCUACAACAACAUAAGGGGGGGAAACAUGAUGGGAGUAUGACGGCUGCCACACGGCUGAUAUCAAGGUUGACGCUGGUCACUGGAGGAGGCAGUGGGAUCGGACGGGCGGUAUGUCAGCGUUUGGCCUCUGAGGGCGCCUCCGUGGUGGUGGCAGACAUCAGCGAGGAGUCUGCCAA